This is a long non-coding RNA of Mesocricetus auratus (golden hamster), 434 nucleotides long. RefSeq lists it as uncharacterized. Lineage: Eukaryota; Metazoa; Chordata; Mammalia; Rodentia; Cricetidae. The record is from RefSeq and is a predicted model, not a curated record. The transcript has 2 exons.
UGCCUAACUUGGAUUCUAGGAACUUAACCCUGCUCCUCUGAAAGAGCAAUGAACACACUCAAGCUCGUUUGUUAUAUUACUGAGUAUCUUAGUUCAUUUUGUGCUGCUGUAACAGAAUAUCAGAGGGUGAGUAAGUCACAUAUAUGUGCUUCUUGCAGUUCUAAAGGCUGAAUCCAAGAUCAAGGGCCCAUACUGGGUAGGGAGCUUAUGCUGUGUCAUCCAUUAUAGAGUGCAAUGGAAGCUUCAUUCAAUCUCCCAUCUAAAGAGGUUCGUCUUUCCCUGGGUAUAUUAAAGCUCCCACUUGGAUGAUGAGAAACCUGACAGAUUCCAUCAAGAAGUAAAAUCCACCCCAUCUACAUCUGAGGAAUGUUCAAAGAUCAAGAGUUUUCUACCAAAACUUUAUCAGAAUUAUUAAUAAAAUAAUUUGCAUAGUU